AAAAAUGUGAAAAUGAUGAAGGAACUUAGCCAGUAAUAUGCAAUUAAAUAUUUAAUACAUGGCUCUCUAAAUCCAUAGAAAAUGAAUUAAUAUGUUCUCUUCAAAGAAGAAGACUCCUUUACAGUGAUCCACAUGGGAGAUGGUGGUGAGAGAACAGGCUGGCUGGAGACACAUUCAGAAGGAAGACCCACAGAGCAUUCUUACAGGACAGAAGAGAGUAAUCAGAAGAGGGUUUCCAGUA
Molecule: long non-coding RNA, 241 nt
Organism: Fukomys damarensis (Damara mole-rat)
Lineage: Eukaryota; Metazoa; Chordata; Mammalia; Rodentia; Bathyergidae
Exons: 3
Source: RefSeq, a predicted model, not a curated record